GACGAACGCUGGCGGCGUGCUUAACACAUGCAAGUCGAACGAGACGAUUGUAAGCUUGCUUUCGAAAGUCGAGUGGCAAACGGGUGAGUAACGCGUAGACAACCUGCCUUUGAGAUGGGGACAACAGUUCGAAAGGACGGCUAAUACCGAAUGUUGUAUAUUUUCCACAUGGAAGAUAUAUUAAAGAUGGCCUCUAUUUAUAAGCUAUCGCUCAAAGAUGGGUCGGCGUCUGUUUAGCUGGGUGGUGGGGUAACGGCCUACCAAGGCGACGACCAGUAGCCGGUCUACAAGGAUGAACGACCACAAUGGGACUAAGGCACGGCCCAGACUCCUUCGGGAGGCAGCAGUGGGGAAUCUUCCACAAUGGACGAAAGUCUGAUGGAGCCACGCCGCGUGAGUGAAGAAGGGUUUCGGCUUGUAAAGCUCUGUUGUCCGGGACGAAUGUGCAGUAUUUGAAUAAACUACUGUAAUGACGGUACCUGACGAGGAAGCCACGGCUAACUACGUGCCAGCCGCCGCGGUAA
This 524-nucleotide ribosomal RNA is filed under the name uncultured bacterium. RNAcentral describes it as "partial 16S ribosomal RNA". It matches the Rfam family "Bacterial small subunit ribosomal RNA", at positions 28 to 523 of the family's 1533-position model. The record is from RNAcentral.